AGUGAACGCUGGCGGUAGGCCUAACACAUGCAAGUCGAACGGCAGCACAGUAAGAGCUUGCACUUACGGGUGGCGAGUGGCGGACGGGUGAGGAAUACAUCGGAAUCUACUUUUUCGUGGGGGAUAACGUAGAGAAACUUACGCUAAUACCGCAUACGACCUACGGGUGAAAGCAGGGGAUCUUCGGACCUUGCGCGAUUGAAUGAGCCGAUGUCGGAUUAGCUAGUUGGCGGGGUAAAGGCCCACCAAGGCGACGAUCCGUAGCUGGUCUGAGAGGAUGAUCAGCCACACUGGAACUUAGACACGGUCCAGACUCCUACGGGAGGCCGCAGUGGGCAAUAUUGGGCAAUGGGCGGAAGCCUGAUCCAGCCAUCCCGCGUGGGUGAAGAAGGCCUUCGGGUUGUAAAGCCCUUUUUUUGGGAAAGAACAGCAGCAGGUUAAGACCCCGCUGUUCUGACGGUACCCAAAGAAUAAGCACCGGCUAACUUCGUG
This 492-nucleotide ribosomal RNA is filed under the name uncultured bacterium. RNAcentral's name for it is "partial 16S ribosomal RNA". It matches the Rfam family "Bacterial small subunit ribosomal RNA", at positions 29 to 507 of the family's 1533-position model. The record is from RNAcentral.